Molecule: non-coding RNA, 111 nt
Organism: Pteropus alecto (black flying fox)
Lineage: Eukaryota; Metazoa; Chordata; Mammalia; Chiroptera; Pteropodidae
Source: Rfam
AUUUCCAAGGUGAUCCUUGGCCCACGCAAGCUUCCCUGAACCCCUGUACCCCAUCUUCCCCCGGUUUCCCCCGCACCCCAGCUUCCCUGGUUACCCCUCGGCUCCCCCACU